CUACGGGCGGCUGCAGUCGAGGAUCUUUCGCAAUGGGCGAAAGCCUGACGAAGCGACGCCGUGUGAACGAAGAAGGCCUUCGGGUUGUAAAGUUCUUUCGCUUGGGGACAAGGGAAGCAGGUGAACAAUCUGCUAACUUGAGAGUACUAGGUAAAGAAGCACCGGCUAACUCCGUGCCAGCAGCUGCGGUAAUACGGAGGGUGCAAGCAUUAAUCGGAUUUAUUGGGCGUAAAGGGCGCGUAGGCGGCCCUGCAAGUCGUGCGUGAAAUUUCAUGGCUCAACCAUGAAGCUGCGUGUGAAACUGCAAGGCUAGAGUUUAGGUAGGGAAAAUGGAAUUCCACGUGUAGCGGUAAAAUGCAUAGAUAUGUGGAGGAACACCGGAGGCGAAAGCGAUUUUCUGGUCUACUACUGACGCUGAGGCGCGAGAGCAAGGGGAGCAAACAGGAUUAGAUACCCCGGUAGUC
RNAcentral lists this ribosomal RNA (464 nucleotides) under uncultured bacterium. RNAcentral describes it as "partial 16S ribosomal RNA". It matches the Rfam family "Bacterial small subunit ribosomal RNA", at positions 339 to 795 of the family's 1533-position model. The record is from RNAcentral.